Molecule: long non-coding RNA, 819 nt
Filed under: Musa acuminata (dwarf banana)
Lineage: Eukaryota; Viridiplantae; Streptophyta; Magnoliopsida; Zingiberales; Musaceae
Description: long non-coding RNA (MACU_LNC006561)
Source: RNAcentral
UGGACUCGUCGUCGCUUCCUCGCCCCUUUCGACCCCCUGCUUCAACACCUCUGUGUUCUCCAAGCAGUCUGUUUGGUCGAUGGAAAGACAGACUACAACUCCCAUGCAUGGCCUCUGCCAUCACAUUGUAGGGUUUGCACCGAUACUGUUCUCCUUAGCUUCCUUGGUAGCAACAUUCGCUUACUCGGCCUUGUCCUCUAACUUGCCGGGCUCCCUUAAGCAAAUAUGAGCUCUGGAGCAGUCCAACUCUCCAGCUACUUCGAUCAUACCUCUGCAUGAUCAAGUCCCUCCCAUGGAACUCACUAGUACUUGCAUUCGAACUUUUCCCUUAGUGGAACACAGCCCCCAUAUGCUGAUGACCAAGGUUUUCAUCCGAUGCAAAAUUCGAUGCACGCACGGAAGACCCACCUCUGCGGUACCAUGGCCUUCACUCCUUGAAUCCAUAGCCCUUCUUGUCGUCGCGUUGUUCACCGAAGUGGAGCUUCCAGUAGCUCUCAAUUAUACCUCCAUAUGAUCUAGUCCCUCACGGGACUAUGUCGUGUGUAUCGCAUUGCCACGAACUGUUCCACCACGAUCCGCUGCACCAUGUCGCCUCCUGGUGACAUCUCCAUUGCAUUCUAAUCCUUGUGGAAUAAACUUGAAUUGUGAACCCUCCAUGUGUGGCCUCUGCCAAUACAUUGUAGGGUCUCUUCCACCUUCGAUUUUGUUCGCUCCUUUGGCAAUCGACCUUCAUCCACCCACUCUUGGGUCACACUUAGAUGAAGCACCGCUCUAGGACAGUCCGUCGCCUAGUAGCUCCCAAAGUCCACUGACUUCACU